GACGAACGCUGGCGGCGUGCUUAACACAUGCAAGUCGAACGGAAAGGCCCUGCUUUUGUGGGUUGCUCGAUUGGCGCACGGGUGAGUAACACGUGAGUAACCUGCCCUUGACUUUGGGAUAACUCCAGGAAACUCGGGCUAAUACCGGAUAGGAGCUCCUGCUGCAUGGUGGGCAUUGGAAAGUUUCGGCGGUUGGGGCUGGACUCGCGGGUUAUGAGCUUGUUGGUGGGGUAGUGGCGUACCAAGGCUAUGACGGGUAGCCGGCCUGAGAGGGUGACCGGCCACAAGGGGACUGCGGGACGGACCAGACGGCUACGGGAGGCAGCAGUGGGGAAUAUUACACAACGGGCGGACGCCUGAUGCAGAAACGCCGGGAUCGGGAUGACGGCCUUCGAGUUAUAAACAGCUUUCGCAGGUGACGAAGCGUGAGUGACGGUAACGAGUAAAGAAGCAACGGCUAACUACGUG
This 468-nucleotide ribosomal RNA is filed under the name uncultured bacterium. RNAcentral's name for it is "partial 16S ribosomal RNA". It matches the Rfam family "Bacterial small subunit ribosomal RNA", at positions 28 to 507 of the family's 1533-position model. The record is from RNAcentral.